CCCUUAGAUGUUCUGGGCCGCACGCGCGCUACACUGAUGCGUUCAACAAGUUUCCUUGGCCGAGAGGCCUGGGCAAUCUUCUUAAUAUGUAUCGUGAUAGGGAUAGAUUAUUGCAAUUAUUAAUCUUGAACGAGGAAUUCCUAGUAAACGCAGAUCAUCAAUCUGCAUUGAUUACGUCCCUGCCCUUUGUACACACCGCCCGUCGCACCUACCGAUUGGAUGUUCCGGUGAAGCCUCGGGAUGAGGACUGGUGCCCUUAUUGGCAUGAGUUGUUCAGAACUUGUCUAAACCUUAUCAUCUAGAGGAAGGUGAAGUCGUAACA
This 322-nucleotide ribosomal RNA is filed under the name uncultured eukaryote. RNAcentral describes it as "partial 18S ribosomal RNA". It matches the Rfam family "Eukaryotic small subunit ribosomal RNA", at positions 1470 to 1796 of the family's 1831-position model. The record is from RNAcentral.